RNAcentral lists this small nuclear RNA (286 nucleotides) under Castor canadensis (American beaver). Its description in RNAcentral is "7SK RNA (ENSCCNG00000018873.1)". It matches the Rfam family "7SK RNA". From Rfam's summary of the family: 7SK was discovered as an abundant small nuclear RNA in the mid-70s but a possible function has only recently been suggested. Lineage: Eukaryota; Metazoa; Chordata; Mammalia; Rodentia; Castoridae. The record is from Rfam by way of RNAcentral.
AGAUGUGAUGGCAAUCCAGCUGUGAAAUCUGUCACCCCACUCAUCACCAGGUUAAUUCAGCUAGGUGGGGGUCUUUUCCCUCCCUCACCAUUCCAUGUGCACCCCUCCCAAAGCUGCACACUGUCAAAAAGGAUGAAAGGAUGACCUUUCCCAAUAGAGGAGGACAAUUCUUUAGUCAAAGGUAUAUGAAUGGCUGCAUUCCCCAGCUAGACUCUCCAAACAAGCUCUCAAGGUCUCACAAGAUGGUAGGUAGCUGACAUCCCCCGAAGCAAGUCUUUCAGGAGAA